AACGAACGCUGGCGGCAGGCUUAACACAUGCAAGUCGAGCGCCCCGCAAGGGGAGCGGCAGACGGGUGAGUAACGCGUGGGAACGUACCCUUUACUACGGAAUAACUCAGGGAAACUUGUGCUAAUACCGUAUGUGCCCUUUGGGGGAAAGAUUUAUCGGUAAAGGAUCGGCCCGCGUUGGAUUAGCUAGUUGGUGGGGUAAAGGCCUACCUAGGCGACGAUCCAUAGCUGGUCUGAGAGGAUGAUCAGCCACAUUGGGACUGAGACACGGCCCAAACUCCUACGGGAGGCAGCAGUGGGGAAUAUUGGACAAUGGGCGCAAGCCUGAUCCAGCCAUGCCGCGUGAGUGAUGAAGGCCUUAGGGUUGUAAAGCUCUUUCACCGGUGAAGACAAUGACGGUAACCGGAGAAGAAGCCCCGGCUAACUUCGUGCCAGCCGCCGCCGUAA
RNAcentral lists this ribosomal RNA (447 nucleotides) under uncultured bacterium. Its description in RNAcentral is "partial 16S ribosomal RNA". It matches the Rfam family "Bacterial small subunit ribosomal RNA", at positions 29 to 523 of the family's 1533-position model. The record is from RNAcentral.